AUUCUUGAAAUGCAUAUAGGGAUAGUCUUUAUGCCUAAUCAAGCCUAAAACACUUUUUUUUUUUUUUUUUUGAAGGAGUUUCCCUCUUGUUGCCCAGGCUGGAGUGUAAUGGCAUAAUCUUGGCUCACGGUAACCUCUGGCUCACUGCAGCCUCCGCCUCCUGGGUUCGAGUCUCCUGCCUCAGCGUCCUGAGUAGCUGGGAUUACAGGCAUGUGCCACCACGCCCCACUAAUUUUGUAUUUUCAGUAGAGAUGGGGUUUCUCCAUAUUGGUCAGGCUGGUCUCGAACUCCCGAUGUCAGGUGAUCCACCCGCCUCAGCCUCCCAAAGUGCUGGGAUUACAGAUGUGAGCCACCGUGUCCAGACUAAAACACUUUUUUAAAAAGAGAUAUGUGUUACAUAUAAUUAAGCCAGCUAUUAGAAUAAUGGUAUUACUAAACUAUGUUACUAACUUUUGAAAAUUUUUUAGUUUUGCAGUUUUCUUUUUUCCUGCUGCCCCCAAGUUUUGCAGUUUUUAUGACAUGUUAGCAAGUUUUUAUGGUGGAACUUUUCUUUACUGACAGGUGCAUUCCUUGUAAAGGUUCUCGGUUUCCCCCAACCCUUCCACGCCCUGCUGUUGCUAUAUUAUCCUUUAAGCUUCCUUACUGUCAGAUUGCAACAGAUAAAGGACAAAUGGAGGAGCAGUUUUGGCGUUCAGUUACAUUUCACAACCACCUUGAUUAUUUAGCUAAAAAUGGUUAUGAGUAUGAAGAGAGCACUAAAAAUCAAGCAACAAAAGAGCAACAGGAACUUUUAAUGAAAAUGCUUGCGCUUUCUUGUAAACUGGAGCGGGAAUUUCGUUGUGUGGAACUUGCUGAUCUAAUGACUCAAAAUGCUGUGAAUUUAGCCAUUAAAUAUGCUUCUCGCUCUCGGAAAUUAAUACUGGCUCAAAGACUUAGUGAACUGGCUGUAGAGAAGGCAGCUGAAUUGACAGCAACCCAGGUGGAAGAGGAAGAAGAAGAAGAUUUCAGAAGAAAGCUGAAUGCUGGUUACAGUAAUACCGCUACAGAAUGGAGCCAGCCAAGGUUCAGAAAUCAAGUUGAAGAAGAUGCCAAGGACAGUGGAGAAGCUAAUGAUGCAGAAAAACUGGAAAUACAUAAGCAUGGUGCAGUUACCUUUAGCAGCCAAGGACGAGUAAAUCCCUUCAAGGUAUCAGCCAGUUCCAAAGAACCAGCCAUGUCAAUGAAUUCAGCACGUUCAACUAAUAUUUUAGAUAAUAUGGCCAAAUCAUCCAAGAAAUCCACUGCACUUAAUCGAACUAUAAAUAAUGAGAAGUCUCCCAUUAUAAAGCCUCUGAUUCCAAAGCCAAAGCCUAAGCAGGUACUGUUUCCACUACCCUCAUCUGCAGUAAGCAGCAUGGGAUCUGUUUGUCUUCAGUUUUGUUCCAUUUCAGAUAUAGGAUAGGAGGCUGUGAUUGUUUUGUUCACUGUUUCAGAUAUAGGAUAGGAG
This 1486-nucleotide long non-coding RNA is filed under the name Cebus imitator (Panamanian white-faced capuchin). Its description in RNAcentral is "lncRNA (ENSCCAG00000038187.1)". The record is from RNAcentral. Lineage: Eukaryota; Metazoa; Chordata; Mammalia; Primates; Cebidae.